This 58-nucleotide transfer RNA is filed under the name Myotis lucifugus (little brown bat). It matches the Rfam family "tRNA", at positions 8 to 63 of the family's 71-position model. Rfam says of the family: Transfer RNA (tRNA) molecules are approximately 80 nucleotides in length. Their secondary structure includes four short double-helical elements and three loops (D, anti-codon, and T loops). The record is from Rfam by way of RNAcentral. Lineage: Eukaryota; Metazoa; Chordata; Mammalia; Chiroptera; Vespertilionidae.
UGGCUCAGUGGAUAGAGCGUUGGCCUGUGGACUGAAAGAUCCCAGGUUCAAUUCCUGG